RNAcentral lists this ribosomal RNA (1986 nucleotides) under Drosophila melanogaster (fruit fly). RNAcentral's name for it is "SSU rRNA". It matches the Rfam family "Eukaryotic small subunit ribosomal RNA". The record is from RNAcentral. Lineage: Eukaryota; Metazoa; Arthropoda; Insecta; Diptera; Drosophilidae.
UCUGGUUGAUCCUGCCAGUAGUUAUAUGCUUGUCUCAAAGAUUAAGCCAUGCAUGUCUAAGUACACACGAAUUAAAAGUGAAACCGCAAAAGGCUCAUUAUAUCAGUUAUGGUUCCUUAGAUCGUUAACAGUUACUUGGAUAACUGUGGUAAUUCUAGAGCUAAUACAUGCAAUUAAAACAUGAACCUUAUGGGACAUGUGCUUUUAUUAGGCUAAAACCAAGCGAUCGCAAGAUCGUUAUAUUGGUUGAACUCUAGAUAACAUGCAGAUCGUAUGGUCUUGUACCGACGACAGAUCUUUCAAAUGUCUGCCCUAUCAACUUUUGAUGGUAGUAUCUAGGACUACCAUGGUUGCAACGGGUAACGGGGAAUCAGGGUUCGAUUCCGGAGAGGGAGCCUGAGAAACGGCUACCACAUCUAAGGAAGGCAGCAGGCGCGUAAAUUACCCACUCCCAGCUCGGGGAGGUAGUGACGAAAAAUAACAAUACAGGACUCAUAUCCGAGGCCCUGUAAUUGGAAUGAGUACACUUUAAAUCCUUUAACAAGGACCAAUUGGAGGGCAAGUCUGGUGCCAGCAGCCGCGGUAAUUCCAGCUCCAAUAGCGUAUAUUAAAGUUGUUGCGGUUAAAACGUUCGUAGUUGAACUUGUGCUUCAUACGGGUAGUACAACUUACAAUUGUGGUUAGUACUAUACCUUUAUGUAUGUAAGCGUAUUACCGGUGGAGUUCUUAUAUGUGAUUAAAUACUUGUAUUUUUUCAUAUGUUCCUCCUAUUUAAAAACCUGCAUUAGUGCUCUUAAACGAGUGUUAUUGUGGGCCGGUACUAUUACUUUGAACAAAUUAGAGUGCUUAAAGCAGGCUUCAAAUGCCUGAAUAUUCUGUGCAUGGGAUAAUGAAAUAAGACCUCUGUUCUGCUUUCAUUGGUUUUCAGAUCAAAGAGGUAAUGAUUAAUAGAAGCAGUUUGGGGCAUUAGUAUUACGACGCGAGAGGUGAAAUUCUUGGACCGUCGUAAGACUAACUUAAGCGAAAGCAUUUGCCAAAGAUGUUUUCAUUAAUCAAGAACGAAAGUUAGAGGUUCGAAGGCGAUCAGAUACCGCCCUAGUUCUAACCAUAAACGAUGCCAGCUAGCAAUUGGGUGUAGCUACUUUUAUGGCUCUCUCAGUCGCUUCCCGGGAAACCAAAGCUUUUGGGCUCCGGGGGAAGUAUGGUUGCAAAGCUGAAACUUAAAGGAAUUGACGGAAGGGCACUACCAGGAGUGGAGCCUGCGGCUUAAUUUGACUCAACACGGGAAAACUUACCAGGUCCGAACAUAAGUGUGUAAGACAGAUUGAUAGCUCUUUCUCGAAUCUAUGGGUGGUGGUGCAUGGCCGUUCUUAGUUCGUGGAGUGAUUUGUCUGGUUAAUUCCGAUAACGAACGAGACUCAAAUAUAUUAAAUAGAUAUCUUCAGGAUUAUGGUGCUGAAGCUUAUGUAGCCUUCAUUCAUGUUGGCAGUAAAAUGCUUAUUGUGUUUGAAUGUGUUUAUGUAAGUGGAGCCGUACCUGUUGGUUUGUCCCAUUAUAAGGACACUAGCUUCUUAAAUGGACAAAUUGCGUCUAGCAAUAAUGAGAUUGGAGCAAUAACAGGUCUGUGAUGCCCUUAGAUGUCCUGGGCUGCACGCGCGCUACAAUGAAAGUAUCAACGUGUAUUUCCUAGACCGAGAGGUCCGGGUAAACCGCUGAACCACUUUCAUGCUUGGGAUUGUGAACUGAAACUGUUCACAUGAACUUGGAAUUCCCAGUAAGUGUGAGUCAUUAACUCGCAUUGAUUACGUCCCUGCCCUUUGUACACACCGCCCGUCGCUACUACCGAUUGAAUUAUUUAGUGAGGUCUCCGGACGUGAUCACUGUGACGCCUUGCGUGUUACGGUUGUUUCGCAAAAGUUGACCGAACUUGAUUAUUUAGAGGAAGUAAAAGUCGUAACAAGGUUUCCGUAGGUGAACCUGCGGAAG